Molecule: unclassified non-coding RNA, 367 nt
Filed under: uncultured fungus
Lineage: Eukaryota; Fungi
Description: partial contains small subunit ribosomal RNA, internal transcribed spacer 1, and 5.8S ribosomal RNA
Rfam family: Eukaryotic small subunit ribosomal RNA (bases 1-73)
Source: RNAcentral
UCAAACUUGGUCAUUUAGAGGAAGUAAAAGUCGUAACAAGGUUUCCGUAGGUGAACCUGCGGAAGGAUCAUUAUUGAAUAAACCUGCGUGGGUUGUUGCUGGCCUCCUCGGAGGUACGUGCACGCCUGCCAUCGUUUCAUUCAUACCUUCCACCUGUGCACUCUUGUAGGCUGCGCUGUCAUUUUCGGGCUUUCAAUAUCCCGGAGUGAGGAAUGCUCACAAGGCUUUCCUUGGAUGGCUGCAUCCUAUGCCUUUAUAAACCUGUUGUAUGUUGACGAAUGUAUGACCUGGGCUUUCAUUGCCUAUAAAACCUUAUACAACUUUCAACAACGGAUCUCUUGGCUCUCGCAUCGAUGAAGAACGCAGC